AUUGAACGCUGGCGGCAUGCUUUACACAUGCAAGUCGAACGGCAGCGCGGGCUUCGGCCUGGCGGCGAGUGGCGAACGGGUGAGUAAUGCAUCGGAACGUGCCCAGUCGUGGGGGAUAGCCCGGCGAAAGCCGGAUUAAUACCGCAUACGACCUGAGGGUGAAAGCGGGGGACCGAAAGGCCUCGCGCUAUUGGAGCGGCCGAUGUCGGAUUAGCUAGUUGGUGGGGUAAAGGCUUACCAAGGCGACGAUCCGUAGCUGAUCUGAGAGGACGACCAGCCACACUGGGACUGAGACACGGCCCAGACUCCUACGGGAGGCAGCAGUGGGGAAUUUUGGACAAUGGGGGCAACCCUGAUCCAGCCAUGCCGCGUGCGUGAAGAAGGCCUUCGGGUUGUAAACCGCUUUUGUUCGGGAAGAAAUCCUCUGGGCUAAUACCCCGGGGGGAUGACGGUACCGGAAGAAUAAGCACCGGCUAACUACGUG
RNAcentral lists this ribosomal RNA (484 nucleotides) under uncultured bacterium. RNAcentral describes it as "partial 16S ribosomal RNA". It matches the Rfam family "Bacterial small subunit ribosomal RNA", at positions 28 to 507 of the family's 1533-position model. The record is from RNAcentral.